GAUGAACGCUAGCGGCAGGCCUAAUACAUGCAAGCCGAACGGCAAGUCUUUUAGCAAUAGAAGACCUAGAGUGGCGUAAGGGUGCGUAACACGUAUGCAAUCUGCCCUCAACAGGAGGAUAGCUCCCCGAAAGGGGAUUAAGCCUCCAUAGGAUCGUAAUGUGGCAUCACAUAGCGAUUAAACUACCAGGGGUUGAGGAUGAGCAUGCGCAUGAUUAGUUAGUUGGCGGGGUAACGGCCCACCAAGACGAUGAUCAUUAGGGGAACUGAGAGGUUGAUCCCCCACACUGGCACUGAGAUACGGGCCAGACUCCUACGGGAGGCAGCAGUAGGGAAUAUUGGACAAUGGGUGCAAGCCUGAUCCAGCAAUGCCGCGUGCAGGAAGAA
This 386-nucleotide ribosomal RNA is filed under the name uncultured bacterium. Its description in RNAcentral is "bacterial SSU rRNA". It matches the Rfam family "Bacterial small subunit ribosomal RNA", at positions 28 to 412 of the family's 1533-position model. The record is from RNAcentral.